Apus apus (common swift) is the source of this 7799-nucleotide long non-coding RNA. RefSeq lists it as uncharacterized. NCBI's taxonomy places the organism in Eukaryota, Metazoa, Chordata, Aves, Apodiformes, Apodidae. The record is from RefSeq and is a predicted model, not a curated record. The transcript has 2 exons.
CAGGCCUCAAGUAGAGGCAGUAGUUGUCAGUCUUUUUCUUCUCUGUUCCCCACCCUGAGAAAAAUGUAGUCAGGAUCUAUAUGAAUUUUUACAACCAGUAAAUGAGGAAGGUAGCUGAAUUGGAACCUUAAUUCCCUUUGUGAAGGCAAAACAGAGUCCAGGGAGAGUAUGAAGCAGGGAAGAAACAUUCUUAGGGAAGAAAUAAUUUAAAUAUGAAUUUAAGUGUCAUGGCACAUCAUGGCACAUACUUGAUACAGCCAUGUAACAGAUCUAAGCAGUCACUCUCAGUAGUGUGCAGAAAUACUCUGAGUUACUGUAACCUUGCCAUAUCAUUUAGGACUGAAACAUGACCUAUUCUGCAUGUGUAAACAGAGAUUAUCCAGGGCUGACCUCCCAUUUAUGAUGAUGUGUAAAUUAUUGCUGUGAGGCAAACCUAGGCAUUUAGUGUGUGUCUUUGACAGGCUUUCAGGUUGUGUUAAAUCACUUCUCUAGGUACUGGUGUUGUCUUUCCCAUCCUACUGAAUGGAGCACUGUGAUGUUAAGAAACCUUAAUGUACAGACUGUCUGUUUCUGCCUUCUUUUCUGUACUCAUUAUCUUUUGGAUUGCCAGUUCUUUGAGGUGGGGGCAGUGCCUUACUUUGUUGUAACUGGCUAAUCUAUUGAGAAUGUUAAUGCAAACAAGCAAGAUUUCCAAAUAGAACACAGUAAAUUACCUACUCCUUUAUCACACUGCAUUACAUCACUAAUUGAAUGUCAGCUAAAUCUUUCUUCAGGCAUUUAACUAAAAUAAGCAUGAGCUGUAGUGUACGUAUAAGAACCACAAAUAGUAAAGAAGCAUGAUUAUGAAAAAUUACAUAAAUUCUUCCAUUCACCAGUAACUAAGUUGCAAAUAUAUCCCUUGUAAAUUCAAACCAAAGGACUCAUUCAGCUAUCAGUGCAUGUUUCUGUUUAAAGUGUAUCAAUUUAAUAAACCAAUCAGAUUACUUAACUAGUCCAGAUUACUUUUAUCUAAAACAGAAGACAUGGAUUGCUGGACUGUUGCUAAGAGGUCUGCCAGAAUGUGAUAAAGAAAUUUGGAAGAGCUGUAUGAACUUAUUCUUUUCAGGGUCCUGAAAGAGGGUUCUGUCCACUGCUUAGACAUUUCUUUCAUGUCUUUUGGUUAUUAACCGAUUUUUGAAACUACGCUUAUUUUUUGUCACUGUUAACUGUCUCAAAGGAAGGGAAGAAAUCUGAAUUUGUUAGCACUGUUUACUAAAAACUGAGAUAAGCUGCUAAGCUGCUCUAUAAAUGAAUGUAUCUCUAACCAGCCAAGAGAAGCCAACUGACAGCUCCUCAAAUGCUUGCACUGCCGUGGGAUUUCCACUGCCAACAUUCAGCCACGUAUGGAAAAGGGGCAUCACCAAAGCAUCAGAAAUAUUGGGCACUUCGAUUAACUAGACAGACAGAAAGGCUCUUCUGCUUAAGUGAAACAGGCAUGGAUGAUUUUUGUAAUUAUGUGUUGGGUUUUUUUUAGUUGUGGAACUGUCUGUCACAGCACAGAACCCAAAUAUUAAGCAUGUACGUGGAAAAUAAGAAUGAUUAGAAGAAGAACUAGAGAAAAAACUGGUAUACUUCACUUUAAGCAAUGAGCCUGGUCCCUGUUGGCUGAGUGAUCUUCACCUUUACUUAAGAUUUUCAUGUUGAGUUCUGCAAGGCAUAGUUACUUGAAGGAGUAACUAGUCAGAUACAAGUUGCAUUGACUGUAGCUUUUGCUGGGAGCAGCUGAUGGAAGUAAAAGGGAGACAUAAUUCUGGGGAGAACACACACUCAGAGACACAAAAAUACACCUGGGUAAAAGGUCCUGGGAGAGCUGGUGUACUUGGAGCAGCAUCUCACAGACUCAGCCUACCGUGUGCCAGAUGAACUCUCUGUGACCAGUCACCUCACAUGGGUGUAGGAGUCUUUAUAAAAAGGCCAUCAGGAAAUGAGUGAGAUCAUUGUUCAAAGUCAUUAAUGCAGGACCUGGAUCUGUAGAGUUGGUGUCAUCGACCAGAGGGUAGAUGUGCAGGAGAAACCAUGGUGUCUUGUGGCCUCUGCAGACAAUUUGCAGUGUAUGUUGAAACUUUGUGGCAGAAGGAGCCCUGGGGUUCUGUAAGUGCAGUGCUCUUGGCUGCUUUUGAAGAAAAGGACUGUGAUCCCUGGGAUAAAAAGUGACGAAAAUGAUGGGGUUUGUAAAUUUCUCUGCUUAGAGAGCUAUUUGUUAGCAUUUGUGGUUCCAAGAGCCUCUCAUAGCACAGAGCAGUCCUGGUUUUCAAAUACUGACCUAAAGUUUACUGAUACCCAAGCAGAUCUGAACUUGACUCUUUAAAUAAUCUUUUCAAUAUUUUUCUUUAAAUGACAACGUUAGAUGGCAGGUACCUUGACACCAUGUACUGGAAUUAAUUUUCUUCUGCAUACCAUUCAAAUCUGAAGCAAUCAAGCCAUAGUCUGUUACCUCUUACUACCACAGCUGUCACUUUAUAUCCAGCAGAUACAGGUUUUCUCCAUAAAAUGACACAUGUUCUCUAACAAAGUUUUUUUGGGAUAGUGGGGCUAAUAAUCUACAAUUUUUAUGUUCUCCAGAGUACAAAAGGAAUUUUUACUGAUAGCAGACAUAAAAUUAAUCUGAGCAUAUUUAUAAAUACAAUAGUAUGUCUUCAUGCUAACUGGGGGGGGAGGUGUGAAUUUAUUUAUUUAUUUUUAUGUAACAAUCAGUUGAUCUUAUUUUUCCCCCAUGUUUUUCUUAACUACUGGGCAUUUAGCUUUCACUGUAAUAUAUGUGUCAUUUCAUUUAGCCCUUUUUCUCUAUUUUCUUUUAUUUUUCUAGCAUCCAGAUACUGUACAAUAUGAACUUCCUCAGUAAGACCUAAUAUUUGACACUUUUCCAGUUAGUCUACUUCCUGAACUAUUACAAAGUAUGUUUUUUAUCUUUACAUCUAGCUCUCAUGAAAUGCCACAGCAGGAAUUAUUUCCCUUAGCCCAGCUUAAAGUCUCAGCAUUGUCUCUUCCAUACCUUUUGCUCAUCUUCUCUUGUAGAACUUGUUCUACAUGAAGAGAGAUUAUUGCUAAAAAUUAUCUUGAUUUUUUGCAUAAAGAACCUCAAUUUUUUUGAGUUAUUUCCUCUGUUAAUAUCUCAGUAUCUCUUUGUGUCUAGAUGGGCUCUGUUUCUUUCACCAGCUACUCCAGAACCCCUGUUCCUAUUUGGACAACAUUUUUGCUUUAUUGGAAAAGAAUUUCUGAGAACAGGAGAGCUAAAACUAGCAGGGUUUUUACUGCAAUGAAUCAGUUAGCUAAUAUCUGAGUGAGAUAUUGAGGAGGAUCUGUAUUUCUUAGGCAGCUUGAUGAGACUUUGAAAGCUGCAGGUGGAGCUUAGAAAGCUUUAAGCUUCUUUUAGGCUCAGUUAUCUUUAAAGACAAACCAUCUAAUAAUAGGUUGUUUCUGUAAAGUAGAUAGUUGCCUGCCUGUGCUGAAGGGAGAUUGUCAGCAGCUCUGAAAGAUAUUACAAUGCCUUGGAUUAAUAAGACAUUACCUUUUGGACUUGAUUUCCUCUGCCCUGGUGAGACCUCACCUGGAGUACUGCAUCCAGCUCUAGUGCCCCCAGCACAAGAAGGGUGUGGACCUAGUUGGAGUGUGUCCAGAGAAGGGCCAUGAAAAUGAUCUGAGGGCUGCAGCAGCUCUCUUAUGAAGACAGGCUGAGAGAGUUGGAGUUGUUCAAUCUGGAAAAGAGAAGGCUCCAGGGAGACCUUAUAGUGAUCUUCCAGUACCUGAAAGGGGCCUAUAAGAAGGCUGGGGAAGAGCUGUUCACCAGGGCAUGUAACAAUAGGACAAGGGGUGAUGGUUUUAAGCUAGAGAAGGGUAGAUUAAGGUUGCACAUUAGGAAAAAGUUCUUUAAUAUGAGGGGGCUGGAUCACUGGAACAGGUUGCCUAGAGAGGUGAUGGGGCCCCCAUCCCUGGAGACACUCAAGGUCAGGCUUGAUGGGACUCUGAGCAACCUGUUCUAGUGUGAGAUGUCCCUGCUUACUGUAGGGGGGGUUGGACUAGAUGAGUUUUAGAGGUCCCUUCCAACCCAAGAUACUCUAUGAUUCUGUGAUUGUUUGAGUGCACAUAAAUAUCCAGGGAUUGACUACAACCAUUCACGCUCCCUGAGCACAUUUGUGUACUUCUCAUUUAGGUAUUUUAGAGACCUGUAUUUUGAUUUAGGUCUGUCAUUUUGGGCACAUUUGCCUGAGUACUAGUUGGCAAAUAUUUCUUGCUUCUGCUCUACAGUCUGUGCUAGACAUUAGCAUGAGCAGCACAGUGAGCAACAGUAAAGCUUUCACAACCUGCAGGUCAUUUAAAUUGGAUAUUAUAUAAAGAGUCAUAUGCAAGAUGGGUUCUGACACUAAGAGUCUCCUGCCUGCCAUGCCCUCUGCCACCCCUUCUGACUCUUUUCUCUGGCUCAAAAGAAUCUGCCAGUCAGAGCAUCCAGGGAUUUAACCUGAGUUCUAUCUCUGAAGUAACCAGAAGGCAAGCAGCAGAUGCAGUUUGUAUUGAAAAAAACACGGGGGGUACAUCUGUCCAUUUUUUAUCCUGGAGAAAAAGGGGCAGCUGCCUUCAGUUCUGUCAGAAAGCUGACUUUAAAGAUUUAAAAGAAAACACAAAAAAACACAUCUGCUCUUUCUAGUUGUUGGAGUAAUGUUGACUAGAUUAAUGACCACCAUAGCAGACUGUUGAAAGGGCUUUUCCUGAAAUGAUUACUUCUCGAAACCACAGGAAUAGAUUUUAAAUUUUGUCCAAAUUUUAUUUUAAACUUUUGAUGCCAACUAUUUGCAAGGCAAGGGUGUGUGUUUGUCAAGGUCAUUUCUCAUCCUGUCAUUGCAGGAAGGGCAAUGUGCUCUAGGUUUAUUGCACCUCCAUAUUUUGAAGUGGGGGUGGAGAAAGAAAGGUUUAGAAAUCUUGCAUAUAUUGAGAGGAUGUGCUAUAAACUUCUGAAUAUUCAAUUCAAAUGCUGUAAAAUCACAUUUAUAAAAUUAUUCAUCUCUUCUAUCUGGACAGGGGUAGCAGCUAGGGAAAAAGAAGGGGUCUCAGGAAUAUGUAACUUCUUUUCUCAGCGCUUCCUCAAACCUUGAAUAACUGACUUGACUUCUUUAAAGCUACCUUUUUUUUCUCUGCACCUAAGUUGUCUUAAUUAUACAGAUAUGAGAAAAUCUUUCUUUAAAGCUCUUCCCUCCUACAAAAGCCUUGAUCAGAAGCCCAAGACAGUGCAUCUUUCCAUUAACAUCUGCAGAAAUGCACAGAAGAUUUCUGACUAAAACAUAGCCUGAAGAAAGUUAAUGAGGUCAUUAGUAGUCUGCGUCACUAAUUAAAAGACUGUGGAUGAUCCUGGUCUUUUCCUUCAGGCCUUGAUGAAUCAUGAAAAUGACAGAAAGCUGAUUUUUCUAAAGGAGCAUCAGCUGUAAGUAAAAAAGAGGAGAAAAAUUAUGGAAAAAAUAAAUAAAGGAAAGCCAGUGACACAACUGCUACUGAUUGUGAGCAGUUGGUUGCAAGCUGAAAUUUUGUUGCAUGUUACUAGACUUUUUGACCUGAUGAGUCUUUCUUGUUAAUUAAUUUUUGUAGAAACAGACCUUUUUUUCUGCUAAAGAUCAUGUACUUCAACGAAGAAGUCUUUUACCAUCUGCAGUAGCAAUAUAGCACCAUGAAAUUCAGCACUUUUGAUUAUGAACAAUUUAAUAAAUCAUGAGCAAUAACCCUGGAGUAUUUCACACCCCUUUGCCUUGUCCUCACUUCUCAUUGACAGUUAAAAGAAUGAUGUAAAGAAUUCCUGUUUGUUUGUCUGUUUCACAGAAUUCUAGGGGUUGGAAGGGACCUAGAAAAAUCAUCUAGUCCAACCCCCCUGCCAGAGCAGGAUCACCCAGAGCACAUCACACAGGAACGUGUCCAGGCGGGUUUGGAAUGUCUCCAGUGAAGGAGACUCCACAACCUCUCUGGGCAGCCUGUCCCAGGGCUCUGUCACACUCACAGGAAAGAAGUUUUUUCUGAUGUUUACGUGGAACCUCCUGUGUUCCAGUUUGCACCCAUUGCCCCUUGUCCUAUCACUGAACAAAGCCUGGCUCCAUCCUCCUGACACUCACCCUUAACAUAUUUGUAAACACUGAUGAGGUUGCCCCUCAGUCUCCUCUUCUCCAAGCUCAAGAGACCCAGCUCCCUCAGCCUUUCCUCAUCAGGGAGAUGUUCCACUCCCUUCAUCAUCUUUGUGGCUCUGCCCUGGACUCUUUUCAAGCAGUUCCCUGUCCUUCUGGAACUGAGGGGCUCAGAACUGGACACAAUACUCCAGAUGUGGCCUCACCAAGGCAGAAUAGAGGGGGAGGAGAACCUCUCUUGACCUACUAACCACACCCUUUCUAAUACACCCCAGGAUGCCAUUGGCCUUCUUGGCCACCAGGGCACAUUGCUGGCUCAUGGUCAUCCUCCUGUGCACCAGGACCCCCAGGUCCCUUUCUCCUACACUGCUCUCCAGCAGGUCAGCCCCCAACCUGUACCGGUGCAUGGGAUUGUUCUUCCCCAGAUGCAAGACUCUGCACUUGUCCUUGUUGAAUUUCAUCAAGUUUCUCUGUGCCCAACUCUCCAGCCUGCCCAGGUCUCUCUGAAUGGCAGCACAGCCUUCUGGUGUGUCAGCCACUCCUCCGAGCUUAGUGUCAUCAGCAAUCUUGCUGAGGGCACACUCUGUUCCCUCAUCCAGGUCGUUGAUGAACAUACUGAACAGCACCGGUCCCAGUACCGACCCCUGAGGGACUCCACUAGUCACAGGCCUCCAACUAGAUUCUGCCCCACUGACCACAACUUUCUGACUUCUUCCUUUCAACCAGUUCAUGAUCCAUCUCACUACCUGACCAUCACAAACACACUUCCUCAGUUUCUCUAUGAAGAUGCUGUGGGAGACAGUGUCAAAUGCUUUACUGUUUGUCACAGCCAGUGUGAAUAAAAAUCUUGAUUUCAGUAUCAAAUACUAUGCACUUUCAAAUUGAAUUUUGCACUUUACUACUUCUGAAAAUGGUGGCACCUCUUGAUCAAGCAGGUCAAGAGCUAUGUAAGGCCUUACAUGCCUUACAUAAUGCAUACCUCAAAUGGGAACACCAAUGUGGGAAUAUUUAAAUUUUCAAAGCAUUCUUCAUGUUUGAAUGACAGCUGAAUAAACCAUCCCUUAAGAAAAAGACAGAAAGGAAACAGGGAAUAUUUUUUCCUUAAAUUAAUGAGCCUGCUCAGAACUAUUGAAGAACACCUAGCAAACUAUAAUAAUCAUAGGACUUGCAAUAAUGUGUUGUGGGGUGAAAAAAAACCUACCACUAUUCUGUUUUGGAAACUACUCUGUCAGAGUCCAUUCCAUUUCAUGUAAACUACAUAAAAUACUUUGUAAAACCUAAUUAAUUUCUGUAACAUGAUUUUGGCAAAUUAAAUCAAAACAGGUCGCUAUGACAGUUCCUACAAAUGGUUCUAUUUUAGCUUUGUUUUGUAUUAUAAAUAUGUCAAGAUGAAGCCAUUUCUGCCAAAAUAGAAAUUCUUCCUGUUGGGAGAAUUUUCCAGGCAUUUUUUUCAAUUCCCUAAUUUUCAGUAUUUGUCAAAGUCAAGAUGAAGGCUAAUUUUAAAUGCUCCAACUUACAUCUGCAUAAUCAUAAACCCCUGAGAACAUGGUUUUAGUCUUCUAAAUGAGUAAUGUCAUUAGAUACUGUAUUGUUAGUUUAAUUGACUUUGUUUGCUGCUCUGUGUAACAAGUGACUGAAAAAUAAAUGACACUUAACAUUGGC